UUUCCCUUUCGGGAACCCCCUUAAGAUCGAAUAGAAAACUUGGAGCUUUUAUUUAAACAAAUUUACUAAACCAAAAUUUUUUACGCCCAGACUCUCAUCUAUUAUAUACUACAAGUAAAGGAGAAACUUCGGUCAGGUUUACGGAUUAUAAUUACACAACUAAAAGAAAUUUAGACGAUGAUGAAACAGAGAGUAAUAUCAAAACAGAAAGCGAGUUUAUGAAUAUAGAAGUCCUACAAGAAGGAUAUGAAGUAGACAUGGCCAUAAAAAAGGCUGGAAACUUAGCAGAAGAAUAUAAUUAUAUAACUUUUAAAUGUAAAGGAUGUCAAAAGGACGACAUGAAAAUAGAAGAAUGUAUAGAACAUUUUAAAAACUGAUUAGAGAGAAGUGAUAAUUUAGGAUAUAGAAAUAACAAAUCAGUCCUUGAAAGAAAAGAUGAAGACACAGUCUCUAUAUUAAGUUCUACCAUCAGUUAUAAAGAACUAGCAGAAUUAGAACCAACUAGCUCCUCAAGUGCUAGCCCAUUCCAACAAACAAACCCUAAUCCCC
RNAcentral lists this long non-coding RNA (549 nucleotides) under Capsicum annuum. RNAcentral's name for it is "long non-coding RNA (CANN_LNC007636)". Lineage: Eukaryota; Viridiplantae; Streptophyta; Magnoliopsida; Solanales; Solanaceae. The record is from RNAcentral.